Long non-coding RNA from Ostrea edulis (European flat oyster), 1176 nucleotides. RefSeq lists it as uncharacterized. The record is from RefSeq and is a predicted model, not a curated record. Lineage: Eukaryota; Metazoa; Mollusca; Bivalvia; Ostreida; Ostreidae. The transcript is spliced from 3 exons.
GAUUUUACUGGGAACCAAAGUGUCCGGAUUAACGAGGCUCCACUGUAGUCAAAUACCCAUUACUAAAAAAUAGUUCCUCAGUUGUAACAGUUUAUAUGAAUUUGUUUUUGUUUUACCUUGAACUACUGUUGUUCUUUUGUUGUCAACUAGUGACAUUGACUUGAUGUGAGAAACAUCACUUAACCACAUACUCCCACAAAUCUUGCAGACACUUGUAUGAGGCUCCACAAGUACUCCGGAUGGAAUUCUUUCCAAUACUGGUUUAGAAUACACAGCCAUCAAUUCAGCUUCAAACUUAAAGGGAAUACCUUUCCAAGACAAGAUUUUGAUCCAUGAGCUGGAGGAAGAAGUUGGUUUAGGCUGCAUACUAGUCAAUGCUUGGUAUGGGGAAGAAAGAGGGGGAAGAGUCUUUUUCAAAUAUUGUAAAGAACAGUAGGGCUAAACUUAUUCAGGAUUAAGAAACUCACCAUCAUAUGACAUAUCAACGCUGCCAGACAAUCCGUUAAUAAAGGAUGACCGAGAGAUGUUGCAUGAACAACUCCAUGACCAACGAAAGCUACCCUGAAAGGACUUGGAACCUCUUUCAACAAAAACAAAUGUGUUUACCUGGAACAAGAAAUGGAAAAUAGAAUGCAGUCUUUUUUUGCAUCAUUUUCAUUCAUUACAAUUUUAUAGGAAAUACAUGUAAUACCUGCAGUAAUAUAUAAAUUUAUAAUCAUUUAUCACUAUAACACUAAAGGUCCUUAAUUGGUUCCUUAUCAUUGUUAAUGGGGGUGUGCUAAUAAAAUAUUUAUCUUAUAUUCUUACAAAAAAGCACAUUUCCAUCCAUUGGGCAUUUCAUUAACCUGGGACAGAUUUGCCAUAAAAAGUGUUCAAUAUCCUAUAACAAUUUGGGCAUUUUGACAUGAAACCAUGAAAAUGACUAGGAGUAAAUGUAAAAAAAAAAAUUUAAAGUAACUUGAAAUACUUACAUGUAAAUGAUUUUAAGUUUGGUUGAAUUUUGUAUUUGCUUGUACAUAUCUUUAAAUUUUGUCUGUUUCAAAGAGCUUGUGUACCUCAAGUUUUUUAUCUUCUUGUGCAAAUUCUCUCAAUACAAAUUUAUUGAAAUAGCUGCCAAUAGGGGUAAAUCCUUUGUAUAUCAGCAGCUGCUGCAUGUAGCUUUGAAGUGGUGUUGAA